Molecule: unclassified non-coding RNA, 910 nt
Filed under: Hevea brasiliensis (rubber tree)
Lineage: Eukaryota; Viridiplantae; Streptophyta; Magnoliopsida; Malpighiales; Euphorbiaceae
Source: RNAcentral
AGACGGAUAUAAGGCAGGAUAGAACAAUAAAGGCCACCACAUUUUGUGUGUAGUUGAAAGCAAAUACAUUCUGAUUUGUCAAAAGCCCAUCUAAAAAUGGUCCUACUACAAACAAAGUAAUUGAUUGAUAAGGACAAGACUGAUACAGGAGCUGGGUUGAAGAAACCUUGAACUUCUUCUGGAUGGUAUUCGUCAUAAUCUGCGCGAUACAAGUGGUGACAAUUGCAAACAUAGAUAAAACAGAACCCAGUAAAUUGAGCUGCAAAUCAGUUACUGUUGCAAUUCCAACCCCAAAGAGAAGAACGGUAAGUGCAAGCUGGAUAUUCCUACUGAAUUUUUUUCCUGAAGAAAAGAGUCUCCAAAAGAACUGUACAGGGGAUGAUUGCUAAUUUUGUCAUCUGAUAAAAUCCAACAGAAUUGAAUCCCAGGCUUAGAUUAAGAAGUCCAAUAGAGGACCCAUUCAGUAUUCCAAAGCCCAUAACGGCUUUUGGAUCAAAAGGCUUGUGCUCAAAAAAUCUCAUCCAUCUUGCCACAUGGAGCGAACAAAAUGUAACUAAAAGAUGCCAGCUUGUCAAAGUCGUAGCAAAUGUAAAACCUAAUGUGCUAAUUAGCGCCUUAUUGCAAAUUACAAUGGACACAGAAGACACCACCGACAAAGUCAGUGCUCCAAUGGUCCCCAGCUGAAACCUCUGGCUUUCUGUCAUUUUCACUCCUUCUCCAAUUCCAACUUCAAAAUCUUAUCGCAAUCGUGCGUCCAUGAAUCAUACAAAACCAGCUCAGCUGUAAAGCUUCGGAUCACGAAAAUGGACAAAGUGACAAAGGCGCUAAGUGUUCGAUAGAAGUUGAAGCAUUAUUGUUAUUAGAAUUAGAAUGAGAGCGAAGAAAAUUGCACCACUAAUAUUUAUACCUU